RNAcentral lists this unclassified non-coding RNA (358 nucleotides) under soil metagenome. RNAcentral's name for it is "partial contains 5.8S ribosomal RNA, internal transcribed spacer 2, and large subunit ribosomal RNA". The stretch from base 1 to 120 matches the Rfam family "5.8S ribosomal RNA", at positions 35 to 154 of the family's 154-position model. The record is from RNAcentral.
GAUGAAGAACGUAGCGAAAUGCGAUAAGUAAUGUGAAUUGCAGAAUUCAGUGAAUCAUCGAAUCUUUGAACGCACAUUGCGCCCGUCAGUAUUCUGGCGGGCAUGCCUGUUCGAGCGUCAUUACGCCCCUCAAGUCCCCUGUGGACUUGGUGUUGGGGAUCGACGAGGCUGGUUUUCCAGCACAGCCGUCCCUUAAAUUAAUUGGCGGUCUCGCCGUGGCCCUCCUCUGCGCAGUAGUAAAACACUCGCAACAGGAGCCCGGCGCGGUCCACUGCCGUAAAACCCCCCAACUUUUUAUAGUUGACCUCGAAUCAGGUAGGACUACCCGCUGAACUUAAGCAUAUCAAUAAGCGGAGGA